GGGUUGUGAGGUUAAGCGACUAAGCGUACACGGUGGAUGCCCUGGCAGUCAGAGGCGAUGAAGGGCGUGCUAAUCUGCGAUAAGCGCCGGUAAGGUGAUAUGAACCGUUAUAACCGGCGAUACCCGAAUGGGGAAACCCAGUGUGACUCGUCACACUAUCAUUAACUGAAUCCAUAGGUUAAUGAGGCGAACCGGGGGAACUGAAACAUCUAAGUACCCCGAGGAAAAGAAAUCAACCGAGAUUCCCCCAGUAGCGGCGAGCGAACGGGGAGGAGCCCAGAGCCUGAAUCAGCAUGUGUGUUAGUGGAAGCGUCUGGAAAGGCGCGCGAUACAGGGUGACAGCCCCGUACACAAAAGCGCAUGUGCUGUGAGCUCGAUGAGUAGGGCGGGACACGUGGUAUCCUGUCUGAAUAUGGGGGGACCAUCCUCCAAGGCUAAAUACUCCUGACUGACCGAUAGUGAACCAGUACCGUGAGGGAAAGGCGAAAAGAACCCCGGCGAGGGGAGUGAAAAAGAACCUGAAACCGUGUACGUACAAGCAGUGGGAGCCCCACCACUAAGCCAGUGGUGAACUCCACAUACGCAUCCUUUGCUGAGGAUGCGGUUAACGGAGCGAAAGCGACGUUCAACCGCAAAAGAAGCAGAGGGGGCUUAGUGGUGGGGUGACUGCGUACCUUUUGUAUAAUGGGUCAGCGACUUAUAUUCUGUAGCAAGGUUAACCGAAUAGGGGAGCCGGAGGGAAACCGAGUCUUAAUUGGGCGUUAAGUUGCAGGGUA
This 776-nucleotide ribosomal RNA is filed under the name Salmonella enterica subsp. enterica serovar Aberdeen. RNAcentral's name for it is "bacterial LSU rRNA". It matches the Rfam family "Bacterial large subunit ribosomal RNA", at positions 1 to 709 of the family's 2925-position model. Lineage: Bacteria; Pseudomonadati; Pseudomonadota; Gammaproteobacteria; Enterobacterales; Enterobacteriaceae. The record is from RNAcentral.